RNAcentral lists this non-coding RNA (63 nucleotides) under Streptococcus sp. RNAcentral describes it as "Fluoride sequence". It matches the Rfam family "Fluoride riboswitch aptamer (crcB RNA motif)". The record is from RNAcentral. Lineage: Bacteria; Bacillati; Bacillota; Bacilli; Lactobacillales; Streptococcaceae.
AAGAGUCAAAGGGAUGGUGCACCCCUAUAACCGCUAGUGAUAGCUGAUGGCGCCUGUUAGAAA